CUAAAUCACAUGAAAUCUAGAACGCUCGUCGUGACCGUACAAUUGCGCGGCUAACAGUGAAUGACCACGAACAACUGAGUAUAGAAAAUUAACAAAUUUAUGGAACACAACUGGCAAAGGUGUACAAUGGCGGACUUCACUCAAGUGCCCUCUGGUGGUGGCUGAAGUGGCAACAGUAGUAUUAGAGGAGAGUUUGUAGUGUUAAUGAUAGACACUGGAGUAGGUGUUGAUGCUUCCUGAAAAAAAUAUGAAUGAAAGACAUGUCCUGUUUACUAUAUAGACCUGGGGAGAGAUGCUAGCCUGACACGACCACACAUUUAUCCAAUGUGUAACGCCCGACAGCAGAAAUUUGUGCAGUCGGAGGAAUGCAGAGUUGCAGGUUGUCAGUGAUCUGCCAAGAGAAGAUCCAUGGCAAGGUCUGAAGUGAUAGAAACGGCUGUCGGCCAGAAACUGCUCACCAAACUUAAUCAGGAGAUCAUGCAUCAUUGACUAUCAUACCGAGCUCUCCUGUCAGAGGAGGCCAGGAAAGGGUGAACAAGAUUGUGGAUGCAUCAUUUGAGGAUAUCAAGGAAACUUUUGGAUUGGGAAACCUGUCAAACAGAGCAUCAAGGAGUUCCACAAGAGUGUCAACAAUGAAUGGGCUGAUUUGAAAUAAAGAUGGCUGCCUUGAACCCUGAUUUGCUAAGACAUUUUCAUGUCAAUUUCCAUCAGACAACUACAGAUUUAUCUCCCCUUGGAGAAGUCUCCACUCAGCACAGCUGCCCUCCAUGUCACUGAGGUGUAGCUGAUGACAGAUCCCUGGAAUAAUUGAUCUGAACUGUUUCAAUGGAAAUAAUCUGCCCAAUUAGAAUCCACAGGAAUACAGAUUAAUGACAGAUCUAAACCUUCAGUCCUGAUAUUUUUCCAGCAUAGACAUUUGGAUUAUAGCCCUGUGGAAAAUAAAUAGGUUGAGUACAUUAUGUGCUUGAUACAAAUCGAGGUAGAGAAACAAACGAGAUGGGAUACCUCUGAAUAUACAAUUUUAGUCCCGAUACAAAGGUGGUCUUGAUAAAUAAAGAUUAUAUU
Mizuhopecten yessoensis (Yesso scallop) is the source of this 1065-nucleotide long non-coding RNA. RefSeq lists it as uncharacterized. Lineage: Eukaryota; Metazoa; Mollusca; Bivalvia; Pectinida; Pectinidae. The record is from RefSeq and is a predicted model, not a curated record. The transcript has 7 exons.